Molecule: long non-coding RNA, 181 nt
Organism: Varanus komodoensis (Komodo dragon)
Lineage: Eukaryota; Metazoa; Chordata; Lepidosauria; Squamata; Varanidae
Exons: 3
Source: RefSeq, a predicted model, not a curated record
AGCAGCACUAGAAAUCUUACUAUUAUGAGCCUUUACAUUUUCUUUGCUAGAAUGGACAUACGGCUAAGUGGUCUGUAAUCCCCAUGUCCCUUCUACUACCCUUUUUGAAGAUUGGGACGACUGAUGCCACCCUCCAGUCCCCUGGAAUAUCAUCACUUCUCCAUGAGGCCUCACAGGUGGA